GGGAAUAGCUCAGUUGGUAGAGCGCAACCUUGCCAAGGUUGAGGUCGCGAGUUCGAAUCUCGUUUCCC
This 68-nucleotide transfer RNA is filed under the name Marinobacter maritimus. It matches the Rfam family "tRNA". From Rfam's summary of the family: Transfer RNA (tRNA) molecules are approximately 80 nucleotides in length. RNAcentral also lists the same sequence under 10 other names. The record is from RNAcentral. Lineage: Bacteria; Pseudomonadati; Pseudomonadota; Gammaproteobacteria; Pseudomonadales; Marinobacteraceae.